RNAcentral lists this transfer RNA (68 nucleotides) under Bolanusoides shaanxiensis. Its description in RNAcentral is "tRNA-Met". Lineage: Eukaryota; Metazoa; Arthropoda; Insecta; Hemiptera; Cicadellidae. The record is from RNAcentral.
AAAAAGAUAAGCUAAUAAAGCUAAUAGGUUCAUACCCUAGUUAUAGAGGUAUAGCCCUCUUCUUUUUA